UUCCUCUCACAAACAUCAACCUGUUACAACCCUGGUUCUUCCUUGUUGCACAGUUUAGAAUAUAUUCAGUGAACCAGGAAGUAUCAAAGGGAGACAGUGACUUUGGAUCAGAUCAAAGAUUGUACAGCUACCUCCAGGUACUGAAGAAAUGGGCAGACAGAAACAAGUUAUUGGA
Molecule: long non-coding RNA, 175 nt
Organism: Chelonia mydas (Green sea turtle)
Lineage: Eukaryota; Metazoa; Chordata; Testudines; Cheloniidae
Exons: 3
Source: RefSeq, a predicted model, not a curated record